AAGUCGUAACAUGAUCAUUAACACGUAUCCAAACGUUACACCCCCCUGUGAACCUUCACCUGUACUCGUCCGUCCGUUCGAAAAAGCAGCAAUCCCUGGUAAAUCAUCGCCGAACAGUUUUCGAUUCAGGGACGUCUGCAAGGAGCGUGCAUGUUGUGCGAAGCAAGUGGCCUGGCAUCCCCAAGCAGUUAGUGUCUGAAAGUGUCAUUACCUGUGUAAGGAUGACGCAGUCACGAUCGUUGGAGGCCCACACGGCCGACGACCGGGUCGCUGGGCGCAAGCCCCCCUAUAACAAACCCCCUGCCAAUCGCGGCCGCGAUAAUACGCAGUCGACCAAAAACCGAACAACUGUUAACAAUGGAUAUCUUGGUUCUC
RNAcentral lists this unclassified non-coding RNA (375 nucleotides) under fungal sp. RNAcentral's name for it is "partial internal transcribed spacer region". The record is from RNAcentral. Lineage: Eukaryota; Fungi.